UGACCAGACUCCUACGGGAGGCAGCAGUGGGGAAUAUUGGGCAAUGGGCGCAAGCCUGACCCAGCAACGCCGCGUGAAGGAAGAAGGCCCUCGGGUUGUAAACUUCUUUUAUCAGGGACGAAACAAAUGACGGUACCUGAUGAAUAAGCCACGGCUAACUACGUGCCAGCAGCCGCGGUAAUACGUAGGUGGCAAGCGUUAUCCGGAUUUACUGGGUGUAAAGGGAGCGCAGGCGGCACGGCAAGCCUGAUGUGAAAGCCCGGGGCCCAACCCCGGGACUGCCCUUGGAACUGCAUGGCUGGAGUGCGGGAGGGGCAGGCGGAAUUCCUGGUGUAGCGGUGAAAUGCGUAGAUAUCAGGAGGAACACCGGUGGCGAAGGCGGCCUGCUGGACUGCGACUGACGUUGAGGCCCGAAAGCGUGGGUAGCAAACAGGAUUAGAUCCCCUCGUA
This 450-nucleotide ribosomal RNA is filed under the name uncultured bacterium. RNAcentral describes it as "partial 16S ribosomal RNA". It matches the Rfam family "Bacterial small subunit ribosomal RNA", at positions 328 to 792 of the family's 1533-position model. The record is from RNAcentral.